CCCGCUGAAUUUAAGCAUAUAAAUAAGCGGAGGAAAAGAAACCAACAGGGAUUCCCUUAGUAGCGGCGAGCGAACCGGGAUGAGCCCAGCGCCGAAUUCCGCACUCUUUGGGUGUUGGAAAAUGUGGCGUAUAGGAGUGAGCGUUCCGGAGUUUGACUCUGCAGCAAGUCCCCCUGACCGGGGCUGUUACCCAGAGUGGGUGCGAGGCCCAUAGCUGCUAGGUCUGCUUCGGAUGCGAUCUCCUGGGAGUCGGGUUGCUUGGGAGUGCAACCCUAAUCGGGUGGUAAACUCCACCUAAGGCUAAAUACUGCCGUGAGACCGAUAGCAAACAAGUACCGUGAGGGAAAGUUGCAAAGAACUUUGAAGAGAGAGUUCAAGAGUACGUGAAACUGCUCAGAGGUAAACGGGUGGGCCCUCGAAAUCCUGUGGCGGGAGGAUUCAGUUGGGUUUCUGUGGCAGCACUGGCCGAUUGACCAAAACGGAUCCCAGAACUGGGCCGGGUCGGCUGUGCAGGUCACGGUUCUCGACGCAUUUUUUCCCGCUCUGAGGACGCCGUAGCCGGUUGGGAAGACUCGACGGACUAAAGGACUUACGCUGGCAGGUGGCCGGUGGCGUGGCUUCGGCUGUGUCGUCGGUUGUUAGCCUGUUCGUCCGGUCUCGUCGCCCGACCGAGGUUUUUGUGGCCCGAAUGGACCCGAUUUUAUGUCCGCCUCCUCCCUUUAGCAGGAGAGCCGGGAUUAGAACGCAGCAAGCGUUCGUAGGUGGUGCGGCCGCACUCUCUGACUGAGUGGGCCAGUGCCAUCGCGACGUUGGUGAGCUACGUCGUGCCCGUGGGAGUGCUGGCGGCUAGCGGCGAGUAGAUCGGUCACCCACCCGACCCGUCUUGAAACACGG
Molecule: non-coding RNA, 894 nt
Filed under: Stegodyphus mimosarum
Lineage: Eukaryota; Metazoa; Arthropoda; Arachnida; Araneae; Eresidae
Description: Eukaryotic large subunit ribosomal RNA
Rfam family: Eukaryotic large subunit ribosomal RNA
Source: Rfam by way of RNAcentral